Molecule: unclassified non-coding RNA, 195 nt
Filed under: uncultured fungus
Lineage: Eukaryota; Fungi
Description: sequence contains ITS1, 5.8S rRNA gene
Source: RNAcentral
UUAACUAUUAGAUAGUCCUCGGACGCCGCGUUUAGGUUCAGGGUUUGGGGGCCUUUGGCGAGCGCACGCCAGCGAAUCGCCGGCGGCCUGGACGGUCGACCCGCCAAAGCAACAGGGUCAGGUAAACAGGGUGGGAGAUCUACCCCGGGGGGCACGAACUCGGUAAUGAUCCUUCCGCAGGUUCACCUACGGAAA